AUUGAACGCUGGCGGCAGGCCUAACACAUGCAAGUCGAGCGAGCGGCGGACGGGUGAGUAAUGUCUGGGAAACUGCCCGAUGGAGGGGGAUAACAACUGGAAACGGUAGCUAAUACCCCAUAUCAUCAGAUGUGCCCAGAUGGGAUUAGCUGGUAGGUGGGGUAACGGCUCACCGAGGCGACGAUCCCUAGCUGGUCUGAGAGGCUGACCAGCCACACGGGAACGGAGACACGGUCCAGACUCCUACGGGAGGCAGCAGUGGGGAAUAUUGCACAAUGGGCGCAAGCCUGAUGCAGCCAUGCCGCGUGUGUGAAGAAGGCCGUCGGGUUGUAAAGCACUUUCAGCGGGGAGGCGUUACCCGCAGAAGAAGCACCGGCUAACUACGUGCCAGCAGCCGCGGUAAUAC
Molecule: ribosomal RNA, 406 nt
Filed under: uncultured bacterium
Lineage: Bacteria
Description: partial 16S ribosomal RNA
Rfam family: Bacterial small subunit ribosomal RNA
Source: RNAcentral